RNAcentral lists this ribosomal RNA (260 nucleotides) under uncultured bacterium. RNAcentral describes it as "partial 16S ribosomal RNA". It matches the Rfam family "Bacterial small subunit ribosomal RNA", at positions 1062 to 1320 of the family's 1533-position model. The record is from RNAcentral.
GUGUCGUGAGAUGUUGGGUUAAGUCCCGCAACGAGCGCAACCCCUAUCCUUUGUUGCCAGCACGCAAUGGUGGGAACUCAAAGGAGACUGCCGCGGACAAACGCGGAGGAAGGCGGGGAUGACGUCAAGUCAUCAUGCCCCUUAUGUCCUGGGCUACACACGUACUACAAUGGGAUGGACAGAGAGCAGCGAAGCCGCGAGGCCAAGCGAACCCCAUAAACCAUCUCCCAGUUCGGAUUGCAGGCUGCAACCCGCCUGCA